GGUAGAGAUGCAUUAUAGGGUUUUUGGUUGAUUUUUGUGUCAAAGCAUGAUAUGUGUUGAGAUGUGUUGUUUGUUGGGGUUUUCAGUUAGUUUUGGACCCCUUUGUGCCUAUACUUGAGUAUAUGCAGGUUGUGAGUUGUUGGUUGCAUGGUUGAGGGAGUUGGGAGGUUGGUUUGCAUGAAGCAGAACAAGUUUCUACCUUACUGGAAAAUCCAGUUUCGGCCGCCGAAGGAAGGUU
Molecule: long non-coding RNA, 238 nt
Filed under: Manihot esculenta (cassava)
Lineage: Eukaryota; Viridiplantae; Streptophyta; Magnoliopsida; Malpighiales; Euphorbiaceae
Description: long non-coding RNA (MESC_LNC011027)
Source: RNAcentral